UUUAUUAAAUAAGUUUUACUGACAUCUGAUCAGUUCUGUUGGCAUUUCUUUGAGUGUAGCUACAUCUAGUGGGUGCAUUGGAGAUUGUGUCAUAUAAUGCGGUGUGUCCAAUAUAUG
This is a long non-coding RNA of Hippocampus comes (tiger tail seahorse), 117 nucleotides long. RefSeq lists it as uncharacterized. The transcript has 2 exons. NCBI's taxonomy places the organism in Eukaryota, Metazoa, Chordata, Actinopteri, Syngnathiformes, Syngnathidae. The record is from RefSeq and is a predicted model, not a curated record.